RNAcentral lists this long non-coding RNA (982 nucleotides) under Panax ginseng (ginseng). RNAcentral describes it as "long non-coding RNA (PGIN_LNC016122)". Lineage: Eukaryota; Viridiplantae; Streptophyta; Magnoliopsida; Apiales; Araliaceae. The record is from RNAcentral.
GACGUUAUCUUCAUCUUUUGGGAUUACUUGGCAUGCCUACAGGUUGGUAUACUAACUUUACUGAUUGCCAAUUUAAUUCCUGAAAUGACUUUUACUGAUGUCUAAAACUGAUGCCACCCUGAAAAUCUGACAUAGCUAAAUGAGGUAGAAGCUUAGCAGAGUAGGAUAACCCUCCCCAUGUGUCAGAAGGUUAAUGUACUUGUGAGCAUGGGAAAUUAAUGGUGCACCCUAUCUAUUAAAAAUGCUUCAGUUACUAAACUUUGAUGAGUAAGAUCUAGAGGUGGCAUGAAAUUAAGAACAAGGUCAUGCUUCAUUUUUGGGAUAUCUUAGGACUAAAAACCACCUGAGCUCAAUUUUGCCACCAUUACCUUAAUUGGGUUCUCUCUUAUUUGUGUACGUUACAUGUUGGAUUUAGGCUAAAAGAAUCCUUACUUCUGAAAUUUUGGUCACCGAGUAAACAUGUACUAACUCGAUUAGCUUGAGGAAUUUUAUUAACUGUAGCAAUUUUUCUGCAGAUCAUUGUCACGCUCUCGUGACUGUUAGAAUUCUAUUCAGCAUCUUCACAGCAACUUCUUAUAUCUUCAAAGCUUCUCAUAACAUGUCUUUGUAACAGGCUUCCACGCACGUAUCAGAAGAAACAGACGAUCACUAGUGCAGAAAUAGAGAGAUUGUUAUAAAUUGUCUGGUUCAAGAAAAUUCCAGGAGUGUGUCCUGAUUUUGCUUUUGACUACACGAUGAAGCAUCUACCUCAGACAUUCGUUCUUAUGGAUGCUAUCACCGUAUUGUUUUGCUCUGAACACAAAGUUUUGUAUGACCAAAAUUUAAGCUUAGAGAAGUGAUGAAAUUGAAUAGUAAUUAAUUGAACAAGCCUUUAAAGUCUUGGCAUAAUCUAAAUUGUUAGAAUUUUCACAUGAUAAGAAGGGCUUUAUGAGAAGUUUGCCAAGAAAGUUGGAAAACAAAGACAAUGACAUUGGAAAAUUAC